UGUAAUCAAAAUUUUAAUGUCGUGAACAAAAUUGCGAUCGCAGACGGUAAUGCAAAUGUUACAUAAGAAGCAAUUCAACAAUUCAAUCAAAUUUGUAAAAUUUUAGUUUUACCAAGACCACACAUGAGGUUUAGAAAUUCAUUCAUUAUUUCAAAGACCAAAAAUUACACCAAAGAAGCAAUUAGGAUUAUGAGGAAAAAUAGUGCUUAUAAGAGAUUUAUAUAUUAUCUCUUUACAUAACUUAACAUCUAUUUUUUUAAAUCUAAUUAACAACUAUUUCAUUCAACUUUAUUCUAUGAUAUAUCAUCAAUCCAAACAUAAUCUUAACGCUACAUAAGACCUUCAAAUUUGUGUUAGUCUUCGAGCUGAUUAACACAUAUGUUUUUCAUAUGCUACAAAAGUUAGCAUGGGUAUAUAUAUAUAUAUAUAUAAAUCUUACUGCUGAAUAAAAUUUCUACAGUAGUACAACAUUAAGUAACAUGUCUCUAAAACUCAAAACAAAAAAGGAAAAAUAUUUCUGCUGAAGAAGAGUUCUAGAGUACAAGUACUCUACAAAAACAUUAAUUAGUUAUUCUUCAAUCAUCAUCACUGUCCAACCAAACCUUUAACAUGCAAUUGAUCUGUUCUCUUUUCAGCUAUAAAUCUUGAAGCAGCUUCAUUGCAAGUGAUUUCUUCUACAUUUGUGUGUACCACUUUUGUAGCACCAUAAGUUGGAUAAAAUUUAUAUUGGCAGAGAUUUUGUGUUGCUGGAGGGUUUGAAGUAUUGCCAAAACUUUUUUGCCUUCCAAAGAAUUUUUCUAUCUCAUAUCCAAUCUUAGCAAUAGCAUACUCUGCUUGAGGUGCCAUAUAUUUUUUUUUUCUUUCUCAAAGUGGUUUCUAUAUGGUUUUGUUUUUUGUUUCUAUUGUUUUUUGAGUAUAAAACUUGAAGGGUAUGGUUAUAUAUUUAUAUAGGUCCAUAAUAAUGUAUAGAUAGUAUAGUAGUGCAUCUUUUCACAUAGGGACCGAAUAUGUUAGUUGGACUAAUAAUUUUAUUAGAGCAUCACGAAAGUUG
Molecule: long non-coding RNA, 1051 nt
Filed under: Cicer arietinum (chickpea)
Lineage: Eukaryota; Viridiplantae; Streptophyta; Magnoliopsida; Fabales; Fabaceae
Description: long non-coding RNA (CARI_LNC000150)
Source: RNAcentral